RNAcentral lists this long non-coding RNA (310 nucleotides) under Elaeis guineensis (African oil palm). RNAcentral describes it as "long non-coding RNA (EGUI_LNC015350)". Lineage: Eukaryota; Viridiplantae; Streptophyta; Magnoliopsida; Arecales; Arecaceae. The record is from RNAcentral.
CAGUUGGUCCAGGACAGGAUUAUUGUCAAGUUUUCAAAAUUAAAUUUGAAUUUUUUGAAUUUAGUCUGGAGACCCGCUGUAGCCGACGCACCCACGACGGGCACUCCCACACCAGAUGCUGCCCCUUAGGCUUUCUGUUUCUUUUUUAUUUGUAUUUGGAUCUUUUAAGAUCAUUGUAAAAAUUUUGAAGAAAUAAAUGAAGAUUAUUUUUCUAGGUCAUUGUAAAAACUUUGAAGAAAUGAAUGAAGUUUAUUUUUCUUCAUGCCCUCCGCAUUUCAUUUAUGCUUGUAUAUUUUUAUUUAGCACGCAG